This 514-nucleotide ribosomal RNA is filed under the name bacterium RA2-3. RNAcentral describes it as "bacterial SSU rRNA". It matches the Rfam family "Bacterial small subunit ribosomal RNA", at positions 30 to 525 of the family's 1533-position model. The record is from RNAcentral.
AUUUNAACGCUGGCCGGCAGGCCUAACUCAUGCAAGUCGNUCGGUAACAUUUCAAAAGCUUGCUUUUGAAGAUGACGAGCGGCGGACGGGUGAGUAAUGCCUAGGAAAUUGCCCUGAUGUGGGGGAUAACCAUUGGAAACGAUGGCUAAUACCGCAUGAUGCCUACGGGCCAAAGAGGGGGACCUUCGGGCCUCUCGCGUCAGGAUAUGCCUAGGUGGGAUUAGCUAGUUGGUGAGGUAAUGGCUCACCAAGGCGACGAUCCCUAGCUGGUCUGAGAGGAUGAUCAGCCACACUGGAACUGAGACACGGUCCAGACUCCUACGGGAGGCAGCAGUGGGGAAUAUUGCACAAUGGGCGCAAGCCUGAUGCAGCCAUGCCGCGUGUAUGAAGAAGGCCUUCGGGUUGUAAAGUACUUUCAGUCGUGAGGAAGGUGGUGUUGUUAAUAGCAGCAUCAUUUGACGUUAGCGACAGAAGAAGCACCGGCUAACUCCGUGCCAGCAGCCGCGGGGUAAUA